RNAcentral lists this ribosomal RNA (818 nucleotides) under uncultured bacterium. Its description in RNAcentral is "bacterial SSU rRNA". It matches the Rfam family "Bacterial small subunit ribosomal RNA", at positions 66 to 895 of the family's 1533-position model. The record is from RNAcentral.
ACGAUGAACGGGAGCUUGCUCCCUGGAUUAGUGGCGAACGGGUGAGUAACACGUGAGUAACCUGCCCUUGACUCUGGGAUAAGCACUGGAAACGGUGUCUAAUACCGGAUACGAACCUCCACUGCAUGGUGAGGGGUUGGAAAGAAUUUUGGUCAAGGAUGGACUCGCGGCCUAUCAGCUAGUUGGUGAGGUAAUGGCCCACCAAGGCGACGACGGGUAGCCGGCCUGAGAGGGUGACCGGCCACACUGGGACUGAGACACGGCCCAGACUCCUACGGGAGGCAGCAGUGGGGAAUAUUGCACAAUGGGCGCAAGCCUGAUGCAGCAACGCCGCGUGAGGGACGACGGCCUUCGGGUUGUAAACCUCUUUUAGUAGGGAAGAAGCGAAAGUGACGGUACCUGCAGAAAAAGCACCGGCUAACUACGUGCCAGCAGCCGCGGUAAUACGUAGGGUGCAAGCGUUAUCCGGAAUUAUUGGGCGUAAAGAGCUCGUAGGCGGUUUGUCGCGUCUGCUGUGAAAACUGGGGGCUCAACCCCCAGCCUGCAGUGGGUACGGGCAGACUAGAGUGCGGUAGGGGAGAUUGGAAUUCCUGGUGUAGCGGUGGAAUGCGCAGAUAUCAGGAGGAACACCAAUGGCGAAGGCAGAUCUCUGGGCCGUAACUGACGCUGAGGAGCGAAAGCAUGGGGAGCGAACAGGAUUAGAUACCCUGGUAGUCCAUGCCGUAAACGUUGGGAACUAGAUGUAGGGUCCAUUCCACGGAUUCUGUGUCGCAGCUAACGCAUUAAGUUCCCCGCCUGGGGAGUACGGCCGCAAGGCU